This 402-nucleotide ribosomal RNA is filed under the name uncultured bacterium. RNAcentral's name for it is "bacterial SSU rRNA". It matches the Rfam family "Bacterial small subunit ribosomal RNA", at positions 362 to 758 of the family's 1533-position model. The record is from RNAcentral.
UAUUGGACAAUGGGCGAAAGCCUGAUCCAGCAAUACCGCGUGUGUGAAGAAGGCCUUAGGGUUGUAAAGCACUUUCAAUUGGGAGGAAAACCUACCGGUCAAUACCCGGUAGCUUGACAUUACCUUUAGAAGAAGCACCGGCUAACUCCGUGCCAGCAGCCGCGGUAAUACGGAGGGUGCGAGCGUUAAUCGGAAUUACUGGGCGUAAAGCGUGCGUAGGCGGUUCGUUAAGUCAGAUGUGAACGCCCUGGGCUCAACCUGGGAACUGCAUUUGAAACUGGCGGACUAGAGUUUAGUAGAGGGGAGUGGAAUUUCAGGUGUAGCGGUGAAAUGCGUAGAUAUUUGAAGGAACACCAGUGGCGAAGGCGACUCCCUGGACUAGAACUGACGCUGAGUACGAAA